Molecule: long non-coding RNA, 12548 nt
Organism: Prinia subflava (tawny-flanked prinia)
Lineage: Eukaryota; Metazoa; Chordata; Aves; Passeriformes; Cisticolidae
Exons: 3
Source: RefSeq, a predicted model, not a curated record
CUCCGCCCAUGCCCGGCGCGGGGGCCGCGGCGGGGAAGGGUGUGGGACCCGAGGGGUCCGUGUCUGUGCGUGACUUCCCGGCUCUCCGGGGGUCCAACACCCGCAGCACCCCGACGGCGGCGGAUCGGGCGUUCCCAGAUCUCAGCGCCGCCGUCUUCUCCCAAAAUCCCGCCGGGCUGGCUGAAACGCGCCCGGCGUCCGUAAAGGAUCGGGCACCUGCCUGGUUCCCGGCCUGGCGCGUCCAUCGGACGUGGGGUCCUGGGAGUGUCACCUGCCGCCCCACACCUCCCGUCACCCGCCUCCGGAUGCCUUGCCUUGCCUUGCCUUGCCUUGCCUUGCCUUGCCUUGCCUUGCCUUGCCGGUGAGAGCAGACUGAACCACGCCCGGGGCAGUGCUGGGUACAACAGAGGAGCUGCUCUCCUUGCCCAGACCAACACCAGAGGUGAUGGUGGAUCAGCGUUGUGAGUGGCAAAAAAUACUGCUGUCAGAGAUGAGGCCUUAGCCCAGAUGGUCGUGGGGCAGAGCUGGUGGGAAUACAAUUCCACAGUUCAGGGACACAUUCCUGUGGCUUAUUUUAUUCUGCUGGACAGAGGAUAUGUUUGUAUGUGGUUUUACACUUUCUACAAAGACACUUCCAUCAACAGCCAGGGAAUACUCCUUACUUGGUUACCUAGUGCUUUGGUAAUUCUAACUCAGUUCCUCAGAGAAAUGAGUGCUGUGGACACAGUGUGCAGAAACAUGGUCAAAGGCUGCUCAUUCCAGAUGAGCAUUUACUUUCCAAAGCGCUGUGAGAUCUUUCUGUGGCUUUAUAAGAGUAAACACAAGAAAGCUCCCUUUCCAUGGCACAGCACGUGUUCCAUGCUCCCAGCUUUUAAAGCCAAGUGAGCCAGCCCCUGUGAAAAGCCUGAGAAGACCGGAGCUUAUCCCUCCUCCGACAGAGCCCUGCACACCUUCCAAGAGAAAAACAAAAGAGGGAGGAAGCAGAGAUAUUAAAAGAAACUACACAAGCAGGAAAACAACUUCUCUCUGUACUGGGAGAGACCUCUUGGCCAGCAAAAGCCAAGCUUACAGAGCAAGAUAUGAUCUUCAUUCCAGGGGAGAGAAAGGCGGGAGAGAGGGAACGGCAUGCUCCAUGCACUCUCACCUACUCACAGGCCCUAUGUGGUUUCUAUAGCAGCACAAUAGCAGACAUUUUUCUCUCUCCACAAGAAAGCCUGAGUAAUGUUCUGCAAUUAUAUUAGUCUGCAUUUUAAUCAGAUUUUAUCUUCUUUUAAGCUUGCAUUUUUUCCCAUUUCCUCUUUAUGUAAUGGUACCAAACUCUAAUCCAAGAAGUGAAAAGCUCAAAGGUUUUGUUUUUAAUUCAGGGCUGCCCAUCUGCUGUCAGUAUUUUUUUGUGCUGGUUUGUGCCCCCACAGUACAAGCAGCUGUUCUGCACACAGAGUGCUGGUUUGAUCUAAAAAGUGGGGGGAAAGCCCCAAUGCCAAAUUGAAUUAAUACAAUCUCUAAUACUUCAUUUAAAAAUGUAUAUGAGAGAACAUAGCAAAAAUUUUGUUUGCCUUUUUACGAAUGCCUCAGGAUCUAUAUUAGGCCUUCUAAAAACUAUGGGAUUAGAGUCACAUUAGCAACCUCUCUGUCUCACCUGAUGUUACGACAGAGUCAGUUCAUCAAGGGGCUAAUGCCUGGAUUGCAUUGGGGAAGGUCAGUGACAAGUCCUGCUGUGCCAGGCCAACUGUAGGAUGAUGUUGACACUGACAACAGUAAUGAAGAACAAGUAAACAAGUAAAUGAACAAGAAAAGGUAAAUGAAGAGCUUGUUUCAUAUUCAUUCUGGAAGCCUAAUGUCUGCAGAUCCUGUAAGUUUGUGGAGUCAUCACCCCGAAGCUGAAUCCCUGAAAUUGCAGAGGGAAGGCAGCAUUUUGACUACCACCUCCCCAGAUUUGAGCUGGUGCCUCUGGGCAUGCAGCAGCUGGCCAGCAGGUGAGUGGCCCUGGAUGUUCGUGUCCUGCCCUGCUCAGGGUUUCAGCCAGGAUGGCACACACCCUCACUGAAUGUGGCUGGAGCUGGCCUUGUGCUGAAGUCAUAAGAUACUGUUUCUAAUACAACUUCUUUAGCAGAAGGAUGUAAAUUCAAGUCAUAUUACAUACCACAACAGACAGUUAUGAUGCGUGAAUGUGUAGGUGGCAAAGUCAAUUGCAGAAAAUAUAGAUAAUGCCAGAAAUAAGAUUGCCUGGGCAACCUUAACUCAUCCUCCCACAGGCAUAUGCAUUUUAUUAGAGCCUUAAUUGCAUAAUGUCCUAUCAUUACACUGUCUCCUGUCAUACUGGCAGUAUUCUAUUUGCCCAUAGGAACAGGGAACCUAAAUACACUUGAGGAUCUGGAUGUUAUGCUGCAUUUCUUUUAAAUCCUCAAUUAAUCACCCCAUGCUGCAACACAGGAAAUAUUCCCAUUGUAUAGGAAUUACCAGCUCUUUCGUGGGCUUAUCGUGGUGUAUAGCAAAGAUACACAAGAAAAAUUCAAACCCCAGGUGAACUAGGCUGCCUAAGCUCAGCAUGUACCUGCCACUCCAACUCCUUCCAGUUUCUACCUCAUCUUGAAACACCUCAGUACUUUAUACACCCAAAUACUCUGUGGCAAAUUCCCAUAAACACACUGCACUGAAGCAGAGAGUGCAGCCCUGAAGUUUCUGAGAUGAGCAGUUGAAACACGGAAGGAGUCCUUCUCUUUCUGCCUGAAUGGACAUUAAAUCCCUCAGGACACUGGAACAAUUUGGGCAGGAAGACUGAGAGAACCCCAUCUCAGCCUACAUGCCAGACCACGUCUCUGAGCCUUCUUCUGUAAAUACCAUAGUCUGGGGCCAAGGGCUUCCCUAAAACCCAGGAGAAAAGAGACAAUCGGAAUACACAGCAAGCAUGGCAGUAGAUCAUGUUAGGCCAAGGACCUGGCAGGAAAGGGUGAUGGGUGGGUGGGAGCUCCCCAGCCCUUCCAGGUAUGAGUGGUGCAGCAAGGGGAUAUGAGGGCAAUCCGGGGGGAAAUGACAGUUUUACAAGGGGAGAGAAGGAAGGACAGACUUCCUUAGCCUAGCAAGUGGUGCCUGUGAGAGGAGAUGAUAACCUGCUGCCAGCUCACAUGAGAGGGAUCAUGGAGGAUCAGAGCUCCUCAGAGCAAGCAGCAGCUCAUCAGAGGGUUUUCCUUAUGAGUGGGUUUUGCAGACCUUAAAUAAGACCUAAAAGAACAAGGUAUUCUAUUCAUCUUGCCUUUCAGUAAGAAAUGGAUCUGCAUACUGUUUUACAAAUGCAGUUACUGUUAACACUUUGUAAUGGUUUUCUAAAAAGCCUGCAACUAUUGAGAUUUCCAUAAGGAACCAGGUGAUUCAAAACAUUUUGCCAGUAUCCAAACUAGAUAAACAAUAAAAUAACAGCGAAAAGUGGAAGGUAAAUGAUUCCCACUUGGGAAACACAGCUAACAAGCUAUAUAGGCAUGCAGACUACAGGAAAUGGGUUAUAUUCUGCUUCAUUCUGUUUCUGUAUCAUAAAUUUCUAUAUUCUGUUAUGCCUGAGGCUCAAAACCACUGGUGAUACUUGGUGAAGUUUGUGUUUUAAAGCAUUUAAAUGAGCAGGCUUUGCUGUUUACAAGGCAGUCCUAACAGUCUUAAAAACAUUUUAUUCAUCAAAGUUUCAGGAUUGUCAUUAACAUUCACACAAUUACUAUGCAGGCAGAUGACUACAGAUAAGCAGCCAAAAAUUGUCAGAGGAAUGGCAUUCAUUUUUAUUAGCAAAAAAAUUGAGAUUUUGCAGCUACUGCAACACCCAACAUUUUAAUAACAAUCCAUUUUUCAACUGUACACUGUUCAGCUGGCUAAAUAUGCACAAGGAUUAAACACAGGAAGCUUAAGAGCAGACUGUCAUCUAUGUUUGUUUUCUAUAAACCCUUUUGUGAUGAUGAUGAACUGCACCACAACAGAGAAGUAUGGUUUAGUGUUAUUAUAUAGAUGACUCAUAUAGCAUCUACAAUUUGACAAGAGCACAGGUUUUUGGUUUCUUUUUUUUUUUUUCCCUAAAUAAAGCAAGUAGUCAGUCCAAAAAUAGAAGGAACACUUGGAAGAAUGCAGCUCCUGGAGGAAUUACAAAUUCCAUCUACCGAAACACAGAGGUUGGUAUGCUGGGGCAUCUCUGCUGAGGAUAUUGUGCAAAAGCCAUUAAUUCCUCAUCUGGAAUGUAAAUCUAUGCCGUCCAAAUGGGAUUUAAGUGUUUCAAGGUAGAACUUCAGUUCCCGGCUGGAGCCAGAUUUAACCGGUUGGGCAAUUUUCAUGGUCAUUUUUGUAUUUGCUUCCUUGCUCAGAGCCCAGAGGUAUUUGCCCCAUGCUACCUGCAGCGCUGUGGCCUGGAAUGGCUGGAAUGGGUCCCCAGGUGAGGGAGGAGAUGGGGCCCUGCUCUCCUGCUCCUCUCAGCCUGGUGUGGCCUCCCCAGCAGCCGGCAGGGCGAUUGCAGGGCUGGCCAAGUCCAAGGGCACGCCGCCGCUGCAGCACAGUCAGUUGCACAUUUUAAGGUAUAAUGCCAUAUUAAUAAUAGGAAGGCAGAAAAGCAUCGAUUACAGAUAGAGGGUAAAUAUUUCCACGUGUUUCUUAAGCUACAACAGAGCACUUUUGCCUUCUGCCCAACAUGUUCAGGAAUUCUGAGAAGAAAUAAUCUUGUUUGCCCAGAAUAGCCUGGAGAUGUGUUUCUGUGGCUGAACUACAACUUACCUUUAACUCAGUCUUACUGAUUUCUCAGAAACAAACAAAAAAAUGUAAAAAGUCUCAUUGGUCGUGUUUUCUUUUGAAUAAAUCACAGAAAUCUCCACCAAAUGGGAAGGAAAAAUGCUAACAGAGAGCAGCUUAUUGUCUACCUUCUAGCUAGAAGCUGGAGAGGUAAGAGCCUCAGACAGGCUGUGCCUGGGUACCCCAUGCCCUGACACACCACAGCUUGGGGGGAGUUGUAUCCAGCUGCCUAGGAAGUAUUUGUCAUUCAAACCAGAUUGAAUUACAACCUCGAGGGGAAGGUUCUUGUUCACACUGCCGAAAAUAAAGCCCAUCAUUACUAAUUCUUGUUGGACACAGCUGGAGAUGUGCAAGAGAACCUGGGCUUAAACUAUCUCCUCUGAGAAAGGUCUCUCUCCUGGGUGCAUGCUGGGGCAACAAGUUCUGUUGAGAGUAUGAGGCCCAGAGAACAAACCAGCUGGCUAAAGGCAGAGGGAUUUCCAUCUGGAUCUGUUGGUUUAAUGUGUGCUUUCCUUAAUUUUUAGUUUCCAUGAAGUCACUAUUAUGGGAUGGCCACAGAAAGGAUGCAAAUACAUCACAGCAAUUGCCCCCUGUCCAGACAGGACAGAUGGCUUGGACUGGUGGCAGCCUUACACAUGCCAGCAAGUGACUGGGCUCCUCCAAGGCUCUCAGCAGCAGACAAGCCACCAUUUAGGAAGUAGGACUGGGCUUGGUUUUGUUGUUACAAAACGUAAAAUCUCUGCAAUAUAACCUAAACAAUCAAGACAGCCAGUGGAUUAUCCUCAUUUCAGUAUUGCUCCUGAUGAGAGCUCACAACACCUCUGAGCUCUUUGUAUCAGGGACAUUUUCCUGUGCUUGGAACAGGUUGCAGAGCAGUGGCUUCAGGACAGCUUAGGUACCAGUGGGUUUUGUCUGACCUCAGGACUCCUUUGCCUUCACAUAUUGACUGGCAAAGGGAGGAUUGGAGCUAAAGUCUCCAUAAGUGUCAACCUGAAAUACUGCACUUUAAAUUUUAGAUGAAGGGGCAUUUAAAUGCAAAGUACUACCCUUUAUCCCUUUAUUUGAGUAUGUAAGAAAAUGCCUCAUUAUAUUCCACUGUACUACUAAUGCAGUAUGUGUAUUCUUAGAAGUUUAAUUCCACUGCUGAUAUUUAUUUAAUUCCACUGUUGGUAUUAAUAAAAGUUUACAUAAUUUUCAUUGUAUGGGAAUAGAAUUACACACUACAGAAUGCAUUCCCAUAGUCUGAAGCUGGAGGAAAAAAAUAUCUAGAAAGUCUGGGAAAAUUUAUGCUUUUUCACAGUUGUGUUUGCAAAACAAGGCUUUUUUUUCUUUUAUAUUGAAAGGAAUUCUGGCCAAGACUGACUUGUGACUCAAGAUGUUAUUUCAAAUUGCUGAAAAGAAUACUGAGAAUCAGCAUCAGGCUAGCUGCAAAGAAAGCUAUUUGCUUGCUAAAAGCAAUAGAAAAGAAUGGUGCAAUAAGUAAGGCUUAAGAGCAGUUCCAAUUAGAAUCAACUACUGGAAAAUUAGGUGAUGUUAAAAUUUGAUUCAUAUUGGUUUUUUACUGCACUCUAGACAAAGGAUCACUGUAUCUGCAGGUCUAACAAAAAAUAUUAUUUCUCCCCAGUGGUUAUUGUCAGCAUCUUUCCUUAAUUCCCAUGGAUGUGAAAAGGAAUAGGUUUUGCACACAAAUUAUUAGGAAAACCAGUCAAAUAGGUGUUAUUCCAGCCAUCUACUUAGCUGUAGAUGUAGAUAACAGCUGACUCACUGCUUAAAAUCCCACGUUCUCCAACAUCUUGACAUCUGAAAUAGCUGAAGCCUCACAAAGUGAUAAUAGGAUUUCUAACUGAGAAGUGGAAGUAUUUUGCAUUAAUAUUAUAUAUAGCAAUGAAUAAAACAUUAACACGUAACUAGAAUGUUUUUCACUUGUAUUUGAAUAGUAACUUCAAUCUCAGCUGUUUCAAAAUAUGUAUUCUUUCAAAAUACCAGGAGGCAGUAGUACAUAAAAGAUUCAUUCUCUUUUGGUCUAUGAAUCAGCUAUGAAAAAACUGAAGUUUCAGUUCAUUCUCCUGUCCUCUCAGCAAGCAGUACAACUAUAUUAUUACUGAUUUGGGAGAGAUUGUAAUGUUAACUCUGAAACAAAAACUCCUGAAAAAAGGUCGAUGCUCAGUAAAAAUACUACGGGGAAAAAAACAGAACAACUGGUACAAUAAAGCAUAAUUUUCUCAAACUCUGUUCAUACAGUAUUUUAUAAACCAACCAAAUAUAGUAUAUUGUCCUAUUUUCUUUGACUACUAAAUCUGUUGUAGAAGCAGAAAACUUUGUUCAAAGUUAUAAGAGAUUGCAUUUACAGAAAGAAACCCUUUUUUCAAGACUCUCUGCAAGCUGUACAGCAUCUCAUCUGCACCAAUUUAGCUUACAAUUUUUCUUCACAUUAGAACAGGCUAUCUUUUAGUUUGCAAAGAAGUACUAAGUGAAGAUAUUUUAUUUGUCAUCUCUUAUCAUUUUAAAUAAAAUGCAGAGGCAAAUUAUAUGAGUUUUGGUUUGUCUUUCAGGCCUAAAGUUCCACUAGCACUUUAAAAAUUGCCCAACAUAUUCUCAGGGAAAAAACCCUUUGAAUACGAUAAAAGAGACAUCCAAAAAGUUGAGAAUGGAAAACAAAUUCUGCAAAGGAAGUGAAUCUCAGCCAGUGCUUGUGAUGGGGAAAGAGAAAGACACUACAAGCAGGCUGGGUAUGGAAAGUGGGGCUGUGGGAAGAAUGCAUUCAUGCUGUAAUAUUUUGUAGUCCAUAAAGCAUGGGUUUCUUAAACAGUGCCUUAAACAGUUUCUUAAAUACUUUUUGCAGAUAACUGUUCCAUUGUUACAUCCUUGGCAUUCUGUCAGUCACCAGAAGUGACAACAAUCCUGUGCAACAGCAUCUAUGGACCGAGGGAUGAGCUGCUGCCAGCCUCACCUGCAGGCUCUGCCAGCAGCUAAGGACUCCUGCCAUCCGAGCAGCAGAGGGAAACACAAACAGGAUUGAUUUGCUUCAGAAAACAGAGCAGCUGUUGCCAUGAGCAGAAGAAGGCAGAAUGAUGGAGACUGCCUAUGACUGCCCAUGACAGACAAGAGGCUCAUCCAGAAAGCAGAAGACCUAUGUUCAGUGUUCUCCUCGGCCUGAGAUGAGUCAAAGCCAUAUUUGCUCCCUUCAGGAGUCUCCUGCAGCCUCUGAACUGGAUACUUCUAUGGAGACAGGGCAUUCCCAUCUUCUCAAAACAGAAUGAUAGCACAGACAAGAAACAAGCUUCAGAGGGUCAGAGAGAGAGAGAGAAUCCUCAAGAAAGUGCCUCUCUGUGUCAUCCACUAUUGCAACAUUCAGCUGAAAGAAUGAGGCAUUGGCUCCAGAAGAGUUUAUAUAUUUUCAGCCAAUAAAAGGCUGAAAUACUUUACAGCACUAAAUAUUCAGAGGGAAAAAAAAAAACCAAAAAAACGCAAACAAACAAAUGAACAACUAAAAACUGUAGUUGUUAUUUAAUGAAAUACAGAAGUCUUCAUUGGCAUUUGAAUGCCAAUGAAUGGUAACUUUCAUUGAAUGCCAAUUGAACUCUGAAUGGUAAAAGGACUUUAGGAGCUGUAUACAUCCAUUCUAGUUGUAGAAUAAUUAAUAUGAACAGUCCUUCUCUUGAAAAUAAAAGUUUUCUCUAGCAACGAUGACUGUUCCUAGAGUGCCAUAUCCCAUAUGAGCGGAGGCAAACCAAGGAUUCAUUCACAUUUCAAGCUGGACAGGUAGGGGCUACUGUCCUGCUGAUGAAUGUAAUGCUCUAUCUCUGACUAGAGCACAAACUGGAUGUCAGCCCAAGCCAACCUGUAUUGUUAUAACGAGUCACUAUGCACUCUGGCAACUGUCCAGACCUCCCCUGGAGCCCUUCAUGCUAGGUGGAAUCAGGGGUAGUCCAAAGACAUGACUUCACAGACCAGCCCUGUGACUAUUACAGUUACAAGGUAAGAUCUGCAGUGGUGAUAGCUGGUGCUCAAAAACUGCCAUUUCAGCAUCAAGGCAGCCUGACAGUGAUCACUUUGGGGGAUGGGUAAAAUUUGUUAAGGUCAUGAGCAAAUGCAUGGGUUUUGUGGUGUUCUUCUUCUCCCCCUGCCUCCACUCUGCUUUUGGGAACAGCAGGGGAUAGAGAUUGACAGUGAUCCAGACUCCUGAAAUGCUCAGAGGGAUGAGGGUCAAGUUCAAUUAUCUUUUAUUUUAUAAGCAGGGAGCCAGUAGCCAGGAUAUGAAGCCAGUGCAGUGUGCCUGCAUGUGUCUUGCACCCCAGGCUUGCUGUUAAUGCUGCCCUGUCUGCUAGAGAUGUUUAAUGCUCCAGCCCAUUUUUGGAGGCUGAGGCUUUCUAUUCAUUAUCAGAUCUUUUAUUAAAAGGGCAGCAUUAUAUUUUACUCUUGAAUCCAUUUUCUGGGUACUCAGGGAUGUCAAUAGACAUUAAAUUCACAGGAACCAUGAUACUUGUAUUUUAAAGUCUGCCUUGUAUCUGAAACCUGAGAAAUACCAUCUCAGAAAUAAUUGAAUUAAAUUAGACAAAAAGUAUACAGAAUAAAAGGUAUUUGUACUUCUUUUCAAAGAUCAACAUACUAGAACCCUGCACAAAGGUUAAGUUUUAUAGGAGAUAUUUGGAUGGAAGUAAAAAUGCUUUAAAAAGCUGUGUUCAGUGGAAAGGAAGACAGUAAAACUACAAGUAAGUUUUGCAAGGGCAGGCAACAAUAAGGUAGCUUAGCUUUUAGAAUUAACUUUUUGUCCUCUGAGAUCUACCAGUUAGUGUCUUGGGAAUAGAGGCAAAGAAGAGCAUGGAAUAGAGGAAAUCAAUGAAAAUCAAAAAAUAGUUGCUGAGUUACACUGAUGUUCCAGAUUUUGAAGAUAUCUUCAGAAAGUUAUUGCUUAAGCAAAAGCAAUAAGUCAAGUUAAAAAUCUCAACAACCCCAUAGUGUCUCAAAACCACAUCACAGACAUUAAUGUGUCUGGAAGCUGUUGAGGUUGAACUUUAGGGCAUGAAGUAGCCACAAAACCCUUUGAGAUUAACAUCUUUUAGGUUAGACCCAUUUUUGGUAGUAAUUCUUACUGUGUUUAUGAGUUGGUUAAUCACUACUAGACAGCUUGAAUGCAAAGGAAAACUAGGAGCUGGGGGAACUUGUAAGACAAAUUUCUGGCUCACAGGUUUUAAAAUGAGCAAGCAGGAAAUGUAGAGAAUGAGAUCAGACUGCCCAGACUCACUACCUUACUGGCUUGCUGGAAUGGAGAGAGGAACAAACACUGGUAAAGAUACUUGUAACUUAGCAUUAAGUUGUUUGGUAGCUUCUCUACCAGCUUUAAUGUAACACUGAUGUUUUAAAGAAAGUAAAGAAAGACUUUUUAGAGCAAUAUGAUCCCAAAGCCUCAGAAAUUAUAGCCACAUAAAAAAGAGAGGUAAAAUAACAUAACUCCUGCUGCAAAAUGCUAGGAGGAAAAUUACAGGCAAUUUCAGUCCCAUUGCCAUUUUCCUUACUGCUUUGAAGGAAUGCAGUAGAUUACCUGCAUUAAAAUGGCAGCCUUAGAAAAUGGUUCUCUUUUACAGGCUGCUAUAGCCUCAAAGGCUUCAGUGCCCUUGGAAAUGUCCACAUAGCAAAAUAAAGGACACAAAAUAGUGUUGUAAUUCUCAACAGGCUUUUAUCUUGCUACUACAGAUAACAAUAGCAUCAAAAACAUAGCAGGUAGAAAGGGCUUUUCACACCAGCAUGUGUGUUUGUAACUUCUACAAAGACUGUCCCAGGAGAGUUUAUAUUUGGUUUGCUGGUUUGUGCUCCAGACAGUCCCAGUCUGUCCAUCAUGUUGUGCAGGCCUUUUUUCUGUCUUACAGACAGCAGAUGCAAAUGAUAACUAUGCCUAAUUAACAGAGCUCUCCCUCACCCACUGAAAUCUGAACAGGCUACAGACAAAACUGAAGCACAUGUAACACCAAACACUAUCACAGACUAGUUAGCAGCAGGGUUGUUUUGCAUAUCACAUCCAUGUUAACUGUGACACUAAGAGAAUAGAUCUGUUAGAAAAGAUCUGCAGGGAUGGAAGUUUUCAGAACACAAAGACCAAAGGCUCCUGACUGCAACUUUUUAUUAGAUGUAUGGCAGCGUGUGUCUAUGGGUGAUUCAAACCACUGAAGGAAUAACUGGAGACAAGAUCAAAAAUAAUCAGUACAACUCUUUGUCUUUAGACAAAGUCUCGAACCCAGCCUAGAGAGUAGUGACCAGAAGUUCCUGUUAACAUCUCCUGCCUAUUGCUUAACUUAUUUUUAAGCAAUCAUCAUUAAGACUCUUAUUUACACUGGGGCAGGUGCUGUGCAAAUAGGACAAAGCAAUAAGAAAGCCUACUGUAAAGGGGGAAAUUAUGUUGAUGCCACUUAUUUGGGUUCAUGGGCACUUAGGCAGGCUCUGGACAAGAAAACAAGGCACAAAAUGACACAUCAGUAGCACCAGAAGAAGCAGAUUUCUGUGUCCAUGCUUUGUCAGCCCAGUGGCUAUCACUUACCUGACAAUUAUAAAAGAUACAACCCAAAUUUAUAAUUAUCAAAAUAACUAAUUACAGCACUGAAUCACUACACUCCUUGCUCCUUCCCACACCAGUACCACAGUCAUAUAUGCAUGUCAACUCUGUUCAGAGUCUGUGAGUAAUUAGAGCUAGCUGGAAAAAAUGGGGUUUAUUCCACUGGAACACAAACCUUUUCCAUCAAAAACCUAACCUACAAAUCUUUCUUUCAUUUAUGAGAUAAAGCUUGUUGCAAGAAAAAAAAAUUAAAUGUUGGGGUGAAUGUUAAACUGAUUUCACUUUAUUUAGCUGAAAAUAAUCUGUUCAGAAAACAAUCUGAUCCGCUAGUCAGGCUAUGUAUGUAUUAACUGGUGUAAGCAAAAUUUCCCAUCAAACUGAGGAACACAAGAGCAAGGAGUCUCUCCUUGUCCCACUUUUUGUAGCCUUUUGCCAUUGCAUGUUCAGCCUGCCAUCAUCUCAAGGCAGAAACAAACAUACCAAGCUUGUCUGGACUCCAGAGAGGUGCCAACUCAGAUCUCCCUUAUCUACCAGCUAAGAUGCAUGUCUGUGCCUGUGACAGACACAUCUUUAAGUCGGGUAUGGGUAAGUCAGUCACUUUUCAGGGACAAGACGUGUCUCUGUUAAUGGCUUUUUAUUGAUAACCUCACUGGUGUGUGUUUUUCAAAAGCAGAUAAUGAAGAAACACACAACUUUUCCAAUUGAGAAAUAACCUUGUCCUUUCCUGUUAAAAUAUCUGUAAAAGGGACCCAGCAAGGUCACAUAGUCCAACCCCACAGCCCCCACCCCAGGCAGGAACAACUAAAUUUAAACCAUCUAUCACAGGAACUGCUUACUAGACUUUUCUUCUCUGGUCACACAUUCUUCCUAACCAACCUUAACCUUUCUCUUUCAGUUAAAAGAGGAUGGAUGAUAUUGUUCUUGCUCUGUAGACUUCCUGCUGUUUCUCCCAAUGUGUUGUUUUUGCUGGAUGUUUUUCAAAGUCAAAUGCCCUUCCUAGGAAUCCGGGCACCUUGUUAGAUCUUAAACUGCUGUUGGAGUUCACUGUUGACUAAUGUGUGUAGACUAGGAUUAAUGCUAUUUUUGUAAGAAAAGCAAAUGUUUGCAGGAAAAGAAUGGGAAUGAAUAUAUAUUAUUAUGGACAUUGAGAUAUACAUUGUGGAGACUGUAUGCUUUCUGUUUCUUAUCUGAUAAUUUCCUUGAUUUCCUGGGACAGAUUCUCAGCUUAAAUAAACAAUUUCCAGUG